This 253-nucleotide ribosomal RNA is filed under the name uncultured bacterium. RNAcentral's name for it is "partial 16S ribosomal RNA". It matches the Rfam family "Bacterial small subunit ribosomal RNA", at positions 524 to 776 of the family's 1533-position model. The record is from RNAcentral.
AACGUAGGGGGCGAGCGUUGUCCGGAAUUACUGGGCGUAAAGGGUGCGUAGGCGGCCGCUUAAGUCCUGUGUGAAAGGCCCCGGCUUAACCGGGGAGGGUCAUGGGAAACUGGGCGGCUUGAGUGCCGGAGAGGGUGGCGGAAUUCCCGGUGUAGCGGUGAAAUGCGUAGAGAUCGGGAGGAACACCAGUGGCGAAGGCGGCCACCUGGACGGCAACUGACGCUGAGGCACGACAGCUGGGGGAGCAAACAGG